AGAUCUGAUCCAAUGUCGAUUCAACCUCUCGACGAAGCCGCCUCUUUGCCGAUUCAACGUCGUCGGAGCUUCGUCGCACCUCUCCCGCCGACUCUCUCACCUAAGACUCGCGUUUUUUGAGCGAUUGCCGACCUACAGGAGAUUUCGGAGGAGUUGGACCGCGGCGAUGCCUCGACUCCUCUCCGGAUACCACAGCUCAGCAAGCCGACGCCUUAACUCUAGAAACCGCACCGACACCUCGACUCCAGUGCAAGGCGACGGGCGAAGAUUUAUGUUCUCUGAUCUGCUCUCGGUUACCAUCCAGCGAAGCCAGCCACUACGUCUCUAGAAGCCGCAUGAAGUCACCAGAGACUCUUGCUGGAGGUCGUUGGAGACGUUGCUACAGAGGAGGUCGUUAGAGGCUAGAGUAGGUUUUGGUGGAGGUGAGAGUUGGUUUCGGUGGACGUGUGUAGUUUUUGAUAUGUUUGGUAGUAGGUUUUGGUGGAGGUGAGAGUAAGUUUUGGUGGUGGUGAGAGUAGGUUUCGGUGGAGGUGAGUGUAGUUUUUGAUGUGUUUGGUAGUAGGUUUUUGGUGGUGGUGAGAGUAGGUUUUGGUGCUUGGUAUCGAUAGUAGCUUUUGUAGCUACAAGUAGUAGCUUUUGUUUUUGGUAGUAGUAACUUUUUUGUUUGAGGUAAUAGAUUUUGUUGUUGCCAGUAGUAGAUUUUGUUGUUGGCAGUAGUAGCGUUUGUUGGUGACGAUAGUAUCUUUUGUUAAUAACGGUAGUAUCUUUUCUUGCUGGCAGUACAUAGUAGCUUUUGUUGUUUUCUGUUGUAACUUUUGCAGUUAGGGAUAUUAGCUUUUGUUGCUGGCGAUAGUAGCUUUUCUUACAAGGGAUAGUAGCUUUUCUUGCUGGCGGUAGUAGCUUUUGUAGUCGGUGGUAGUAGCUUUUCUAGCUGGCGGAAGUAGCUUUUCUUGCUUGCGGAAGUAGCUUUUCUUGCUUGCGGUAAUAGCUUUUCUUGCUAGCGGUAGUAGCUUUUGUAGUCGGUGGUAGUAGCUUUUCUAGGCGGUGGUAGUAGCUUUUCUAGCUGGUGGAAGUAGCUUUUCUUGUUGGCGGUAGUAGCUUGUGUAGUCAGUGGUAAUAGCUUUUCUAGCUAGGGAUAAUAGCUUUUCUUGUUUGCAGUAGUAGUUUCUCUUGCUGACGGUAGUAGCUUUUCUUGUUGCCGGUAGUAGGUUUCGUAAUCGUCAGAAGUCGGCUGGAGACAUCGCCGGAGUUCGUCGGAGAUCUGCCAGAGACUUUUCUGGGGAGGAGAGUGGUUGUUGACUUUUUACAAUAGUGAUAUUUUUGUAAAUAUAAGAGAGAAAAUCUAAUUUUUUUAGUUGGAUGGCAGUCUGUAAUUUAGUUGAACUUCAAUACUUUUAUUUAGGCUUGGGUGGACUUAUGUGUGUAAAAAUGUUUGGGUGGACCUCUAUAGGAUAAAAUGUCUUAAAGUGGACUUCUAUAUAAUUGGCCCAAAACUAAAUUGUAAAGAAUAGCCCUACACACUCAGACUUAUCUCGCAACCCUUCAAGUCUCUCUAAACUCAAACAUCGCCGCUACAACUUUUAGCCACGUACCAUGGGCAGUAAAGAGGUGAAAUGGAUCGAGUUGGAUAUCGUCUCUAAUCGACUCUAAGUUGGCCAUAGCCACAACUCUUCUCCAUUGAUCUAACUCUCACCUUCUUUAAGCUCAACCUUUCACACCUCGACGCUGACAACUUUGUAUUAGUGGCCGAACACGAAGAACACAAACGCAAGUAGAGGUUAGAGAAGUCAAGAAACAGCCAAGGAGAUCGCUAGAUUUUAGGAAUUUGUACAUUUAGUAACUGCUAAGCUAAGAUUAUAGAGGUUAGAGGUUGAAGGUGGCUGAUGACAAAUAUACCUAUGCUUGAGACUUUAUAAGUUCAAAUUUUGUCUAAGCUUCAGCUCUGCAAGCUUCUAUAUACAUCCGUCCUUGACGGCUGUUUGACUCAUCUAUUAUACUUUGUCAUUUUUCUAAUGUGAUUUUCCUCUCCAAUAUAAUAAACUGUACCAGAACAAAAUAUAUAACAUCACCGGUGGUCCGGUGCCACACCCUGAAUUGUGAUUAUUAGUUACUAGAACCAGUCAUGACGUUAAAACUUAAAAGGUACUUUACCUUCAACUAAUAUUUAUAUAACCUUCAACUAAUAUUUAUAUAAAGUUGGUUCCAAAUCCUUGUGAUUUCGCUACAUCUCAAUGGAGUUUCCAGCAGGGCAAAUUAUGAGGACUUGGUUUCGUGACGAC
Molecule: long non-coding RNA, 2279 nt
Filed under: Fragaria vesca (wild strawberry)
Lineage: Eukaryota; Viridiplantae; Streptophyta; Magnoliopsida; Rosales; Rosaceae
Description: long non-coding RNA (FVES_LNC002759)
Source: RNAcentral